GACGAACGCUGGCGGCGUGCUUAACGCAUGCAAGUCGAACGCUGAAGCUUGGUGCUUGCACUGGGUGGAUGAGUGGCGAACGGGUGAGUAAUACGUGAGUAACCUGCCCUUGACUCUGGGAUAAGCCUGGGAAACUGGGUCUAAUACUGGAUACGACAUGUCACCGCAUGGUGGUGUGUGGAAAGGGUUUUACUGGUUUUGGAUGGGCUCACGGCCUAGCAGCUUGUUGGUGGGGUAAUGGCUCAGCAAGGCGACGACGGGUAGCCGGCCUGAGAGGGUGACCCGCCACACCGGGAACCGGACACCACCCAGAGCCUACGGGAGGCAGCAGUGGGGAAUAUUGCACAAUAGGCGGGAGCCUGAUGCAGCGGCCCCGCGUUAGGGAUGACCGCCUUCGGGUUGUAAACCUCUUUCAGCACGGAAGAAGCGAAAGUGACGGUACGUGCAGAAGAAGCGCCGGCUAACUACGUG
This 471-nucleotide ribosomal RNA is filed under the name uncultured bacterium. Its description in RNAcentral is "partial 16S ribosomal RNA". It matches the Rfam family "Bacterial small subunit ribosomal RNA", at positions 28 to 507 of the family's 1533-position model. The record is from RNAcentral.